UAGGGAAUCUUCGGCAAUGGACGAAAGUCUGACCGAGCAACGCCGCGUGAGUGAAGAAGGUUUUCGGAUCGUAAAACUCUGUUGUUAGAGAAGAACAAGGACGUUAGUAACUGAACGUCCUCUGACGGUAUCUAACCAGAAAGCCACGGCUAACUACGUGCCAGCAGCCGCGGUAAUACGUAGGUGGCAAGCGUUGUCCGGAUUUAUUGGGCGUAAAGCGAGCGCAGGCGGUUUCUUAAGUCUGAUGUGAAAGCCCCCGGCUCAACCGGGGAGGGUCAUUGGAAACUGGGAGAAAUGAGUGCAGAAGAGGAGGGUGGAAUUCCAUGUGUAGCUGUGAAAUGCGUAGAUAUAUGGAGGAACACCAGUGGCGAAGGCGGCUCUCUGGUCUGUAACUGACGCUGAGGCUAGAAAGCGUGGGGAGCAAACAGG
Molecule: ribosomal RNA, 429 nt
Filed under: Gemmatimonadota bacterium
Lineage: Bacteria; Pseudomonadati; Gemmatimonadota
Description: Gemmatimonadetes bacterium partial 16S ribosomal RNA
Rfam family: Bacterial small subunit ribosomal RNA
Source: RNAcentral